UGCAUGUCACAGCAGCAAUAUACUGCAGCUUAGGCCAGUACAGUGAGGCAAUACCUCUAUUGGAGCAUUCCAUCGAGAUUCCUGCCAUCAAGGAAGGGCAUGAGCAUGCACUGGCCAAAUUUGCAGGGCACAUGCAAUUGGGUGAUACCUAUGCAAUGCUGGGCCAGCUGGAAAAUUCUCUAGUCUGUUAUACAACUGGGUUAGAGGUGCAGAAACAAGUCCUAGGAGAAGCAGACCCCAGA
Molecule: unclassified non-coding RNA, 242 nt
Filed under: Hevea brasiliensis (rubber tree)
Lineage: Eukaryota; Viridiplantae; Streptophyta; Magnoliopsida; Malpighiales; Euphorbiaceae
Source: RNAcentral